ACCAGGGGCCACCUAGGUUUCCAAUCGGCUCUCCCUUGGAUAGUUUGACGCCGAUUUGGUGCAGCAUGUGAUAGGCCGAUCCCAGUAGAUGCUUCCCGAGGGGGACAGAGGCUCCUCUUGAUAAUGCUUUGGCCAAAGCUUGUGUGUUGGAAGACAGGCUGACUGCCCUGCCACAGAAAAGGUGUUUCUCCAACCACAUCAUCAUCAAGGCCACAUAUUCUCUCUCUAAAAUGGCCCCG
RNAcentral lists this long non-coding RNA (239 nucleotides) under Setaria italica (foxtail millet). Its description in RNAcentral is "long non-coding RNA (SITA_LNC004420)". The record is from RNAcentral. Lineage: Eukaryota; Viridiplantae; Streptophyta; Magnoliopsida; Poales; Poaceae.